This 460-nucleotide ribosomal RNA is filed under the name uncultured bacterium. Its description in RNAcentral is "partial 16S ribosomal RNA". It matches the Rfam family "Bacterial small subunit ribosomal RNA", at positions 338 to 795 of the family's 1533-position model. The record is from RNAcentral.
CCUACGGGAGGCAGCAGUGAGGAAUAUUGGUCAAUGGGCUUACGCCUGAACCAGCCAAGUCGCGUGAGGGAUGACUGCCCUAUGGGUUGUAAACCUCUUUUGCCAGGGAGCAACGCCGGCUACGUGUAGCCGGACUGAGAGUACCUGAAGAAAAAGCAUCGGCUAACUCCGUGCCAGCAGCCGCGGUAAUACGGAGGAUGCGAGCGUUAUCCGGAUUGAUUGGGUUUAAAGGGUGCGUAGGCGGAAUGCCAAGUCAGCGGUAAAAUCGCGGGGCUCAACCUCGCUCCGCCGUUGAAACUGGCGUUCUUGAGUGGGCGAGAAGUAUGCGGAAUGCGUGGUGUAGCGGUGAAAUGCGUAGAUAUCACGAAGAACUCCGAUUGCGAAGGCAGCAUACCGGCGCCCAACUGACGCUGAAGCACGAAAGCGUGGGUAUCGAACAGGAUUAGAUACCCUUGUAGUC